GACGAACGCUGGCGGCGUGCCUAACACAUGCAAGUCGAGCGAGUGAAUCUCCUUCGGGAGUGAAACUAGCGGCGGACGGGUGAGUAACACGUGGGCAACCUGCCUCAUAGAGGGGAAUAGCCUUUCGAAAGGAAGAUUAAUACCGCAUAAGAUUGUAGCUUCGCAUGAAGUAGCAAUUAAAGGAGUAAUCCGCUAUGAGAUGGGCCCGCGGCGCAUUAGCUAGUUGGUGAGGUAACGGCUCACCAAGGCGACGAUGCGUAGCCGACCUGAGAGGGUGAUCGGCCACAUUGGGACUGAGACACGGCCCAGACUCCUACGGGAGGCAGCAGUGGGGAAUAUUGCACAAUGGGGGAAACCCUGAUGCAGCAACGCCGCGUGAGUGAUGACGGCCUUCGGUUGUAAACUACUGUCUUCAGGGACGAUAAUGACGGUACCGUGAGGAGGAAGCCGACGGCGUAACUACGUGCCAGCAGCCGCGGUAACAGUAACUCG
RNAcentral lists this ribosomal RNA (492 nucleotides) under uncultured bacterium. RNAcentral's name for it is "bacterial SSU rRNA". It matches the Rfam family "Bacterial small subunit ribosomal RNA", at positions 28 to 533 of the family's 1533-position model. The record is from RNAcentral.